GCACAAGCGGUGGAUUAUGUGGAUUAAUUCGAUGCAACGCGAAAACCUUACCUACCCUUGACAUGCUAGGAACUUGCCAGAGAUGGCUUGGUGCCCGAAAGGGAACCUAGACACAGGUGCUGCAUGACUGUCGUCAGCUCGUGUCGUGAGAUGUUGGGUUAAGUCCCGCAACGAGCGCAACCCUUGUCAUUAAUUGCCAUCAUUCAGUUGGGCACUUUAAUGAGACUGCCGGUGACAAACCGGAGGAAGGUGGGGAUGACGUCAAGUCCUCAUGGCCCUUAUGGGUAGGGCUUCACACGUCAUACAAUGGUCGGUACAGAGGGUUGCCAAGCCGCGAGGUGGAGCCAAUCCCUUAAAGCCGAUCGUAGUCCGGAUCGUAGUCUGCAACUCGACUACGUGAAGUCGGAAUCGCUAGUAAUCGGCGGAUCAGCCAUGCCGCGGUCGAAUACGUUCCCGGGCCUU
Molecule: ribosomal RNA, 462 nt
Filed under: uncultured Azospira sp.
Lineage: Bacteria; Pseudomonadati; Pseudomonadota; Betaproteobacteria; Rhodocyclales; Rhodocyclaceae
Description: bacterial SSU rRNA
Rfam family: Bacterial small subunit ribosomal RNA
Source: RNAcentral